AGCAGGCCUAGUCCUUAGAAGAGAAGCCUUUCCUACCAGCGCACACAGAGGCUCAUGGUCUCUCCUGAGGCACCCAUGAUCGUUCUCCGUCUUUAUAUUUUUGGGCCUCUACAAAUAGCCAUCUCUGCCAAGAUGGGCCGAGCACCCAUGGACGUUUAAACGUCCGGAAACAACACAAUGUGAGGGAAUGAUUGCGGAUACAUUAGUGGCUCUGCUCAAUGGCUACCAAGACUGCUUCUAACAGAGCCUUCUCGGGAGCUGCCCAUCUUUGUUUCUGAGGGCUCGAAACACUUCCACACUACGAUGUAUGUAUUUCAUGUGUGCAUGUAUAUAUUUAAUGAUAUAUCAUUAACACAAGAACAUAAGCAUUGAGAAGGCAGAAGCCAAGAAAGCUUCCAAUAUUUCAACAAGAAUGUCAACCAAACACUUUUCCACACUUUAUAUGAACCACACAGGUAAAUUCUCUGAAGUGCAUCCUCUCUCUAUAAUUUUGAGGUUGAGAAUAUCAUCAGGAGUCUCAUCUUGAAAACAACUGGAUGUUUGUAUAUGAAGGCUUUAUUUCCUCUGCAUUGACUAGAUUCCUUAAAACUGUAAACAAAGGAGAUGUUCACCCCACGUGCAAUCUGCAUAAAUGAGAAAAAAGCAGAUGGUGGUGAGAAACACCUAAGGCUGAAACUCUGGGUAGAAAUGCAAGUUGCUUCCCACGAGAAACUAAAUAUUCGGAAAUAUUAGUUACUGAGAAUUCUGCCCUCAUCCGAUUUUCUGAUUGGGCGUAUCCAGAACAGGAAUGAUAACUACAAUUUUUUACAAUCCUGCCUCCCCUCCAGUAUCAUUCAUAUAAGCAAGACAGAGAAACAACCCAAAUGUCUAUCAGCAGAUGAAUGGAUAAACAAAAUGUGAACACACAGUAGAGUAUUAUUCAGCCUGAAAAAGAUGGAAACUCUCUUGUUUACGACAACGCGGAUGGACACGCAAGACGUUAUGCUGAAUGAAAUAAGCCAGUCCAGAGAGACAACUACCCCUGAUGUGCCUGGAGAUGGAGGCAGACUCAUCUCCAGGGAAGAGGCUCACAAAUUUUGACCUAUGGAGCCAUGACAGGUGACUGCAAGGGACCGUACAUAACGUGUUCAGGAAGACCUAUGCCCGUCUGGCUCCCAGCUCCCCAAGGUGCCGUUGACCCCACUUCUGCUUUCCUGACGCCGCUCUCACAGGGGGCCUUUAGCUAAAGCACCUCGCAGAGGACUGCCCCAUGCUAACCCUCACCUGACACGGGUCAGACGCACCCGGCUGCUUGUGUGGACUGCUCUGGAGGGAGAAUGCAGCCCGGGGAGGAAGGGAAACAGCUGCGAGGAAGAGCAGGGAACGCGGUAGGAGAGGGCCUCCUCCUGGCAGGUGCGCAGCCAGGCCCAUCACCAAACCACCAAGAAUCGUGGUGAGGCCCGAGGUAAGGAGGAUGGGUGGAGGCGGCACGAGGUGCCUGAGAUUUACAGGUGGAGCCCUGCCCCCUGAGACUGUAGGAAAUCAGGAAACGCUGAAAUUGGAAAUUAUCGCCUUCACAUUUUUGGAAUGCGCUUUCCACGUCGGGACACCGGGAAUGUUGUAUUUCUGCACCUUUUUCUGGCACGUAAUCACUUUCCCUGGUAACUUUGUUUUAGACACUCAAGUUACAAUGGAUUCCAAGGACACCGCACAUUGCCAAUAACCGUCCUGUUGAACUAUUUUAUGGGACAAUAAUCUGGCAUCCUGGUGGUGAGAGCCAGGCAUCAACCUCACAGUUAAUUCACUGGGGAGGUGUAUUAUUGCUUCAUAAAACAUCACUGCGGUAUUACUAGGAAUAA
Molecule: long non-coding RNA, 1838 nt
Organism: Suricata suricatta (meerkat)
Lineage: Eukaryota; Metazoa; Chordata; Mammalia; Carnivora; Herpestidae
Exons: 7
Source: RefSeq, a predicted model, not a curated record